Molecule: ribosomal RNA, 1444 nt
Filed under: uncultured organism
Description: SSU rRNA
Rfam family: Bacterial small subunit ribosomal RNA
Source: RNAcentral
GCUACAGGCUUAACACAUGCAAGUCGAGGGGCAGCAUGGUCUUAGCUUGCUAAGGCCGAUGGCGACCGGCGCACGGGUGAGUAACACGUAUCCAACCUGCCGUCUACUCUUGGACAGCCUUCUGAAAGGAAGAUUAAUACAAGAUGGCAUCAUGAGUCCGCAUGUUCACAUGAUUAAAGGUAUUCCGGUAGACGAUGGGGAUGCGUUCCAUUAGAUAGUAGGCGGGGUAACGGCCCACCUAGUCUUCGAUGGAUAGGGGUUCUGAGAGGAAGGUCCCCCACAUUGGAACUGAGACACGGUCCAAACUCCUACGGGAGGCAGCAGUGAGGAAUAUUGGUCAAUAGGCGAGAGCCUGAACCAGCCAAGUAGCGUGAAGGAUGACUGCCCUAUGGGUUGUAAACUUCUUUUAUAAAGGAAUAAAGUCGGGUAUGGAUACCCGUUUGCAUGUACUUUAUGAAUAAGGAUCGGCUAACUCCGUGCCAGCAGCCGCGGUAAUACGGAGGAUCCGAGCGUUAUCCGGAUUUAUUGGGUUUAAAGGGAGCGUAGAUGGAUGUUUAAGUCAGUUGUGAAAGUUUGCGGCUCAACCGUAAAAUUGCAGUUGAUACUGGAUAUCUUGAAUGCAGUUGAGGCAGGCGGAAUUCGUGGUGUAGCGGUGAAAUGCUUAGAUAUCACGAAGAACUCCGAUUGCGAAGGCAGCCUGCUAAGCUGCAACUGACAUUGAGGCUCGAAAGUGUGGGUAUCAAACAGGAUUAGAUACCCUGGUAGUCCACACGGUAAACGAUGAAUACUCGCUGUUUGCGAUAUACGGCAAGCGGCCAAGCGAAAGCGUUAAGUAUUCCACCUGGGGAGUACGCCGGCAACGGUGAAACUCAAAGGAAUUGACGGGGGCCCGCACAAGCGGAGGAACAUGUGGUUUAAUUCGAUGAUACGCGAGGAACCUUACCCGGGCUUAAAUUGCAGAUGAAUUACGGUGAAAGCCGUAAGCCGCAAGGCAUCUGUGAAGGUGCUGCAUGGUUGUCGUCAGCUCGUGCCGUGAGGUGUCGGCUUAAGUGCCAUAACGAGCGCAACCCUUGUUGUCAGUUACUAACAGGUUCCGCUGAGGACUCUGACAAGACUGCCAUCGUAAGAUGUGAGGAAGGUGGGGAUGACGUCAAAUCAGCACGGCCCUUACGUCCGGGGCUACACACGUGUUACAAUGGGGGGUACAGAGGGCCGCUACCACGCGAGUGGAUGCCAAUCCCCAAAACCUCUCUCAGUUCGGACUGGAGUCUGCAACCCGACUCCACGAAGCUGGAUUCGCUAGUAAUCGCGCAUCAGCCACGGCGCGGUGAAUACGUUCCCGGGCCUUGUACACACCGCCCGUCAAGCCAUGGGAGCCGGGGGUACCUGAAGUGCGUAACCGCGAGGAGCGCCCUAGGGUAAAACUGGUGACUGGGGCUAAAUC